AUGGGAAGCCGCGCCCUUCACCGCCGCCUUGCACGCCGGAGCCACGGGAAGCCACCGCAGGUCACCGGGAGCCCGCCCCCGCUGCGCCGUUUGCUGCCUCCCCAGCCGCGGGAACCCGCCCCCACCGCGGGUCGCUGCCUCCCCAGCCACGGGAGCAUGCCCCCGCCGCGGGAGCCGUCCCGCCGCGGGUCAUCACCUCCCCAGCCACCGGAGCCGCCCCGCCGCACCCUUCACUGCCUCUUGCAGCCGCCGCCGGUCGCCACACCCAUUGCCCCGGGAGCCGCCCCACCGGAGCCACGGCCCGUCGCGCACCGGGGGAGCCCCGCCGCAGGUCGCCGCCCUUCACGGGGGGAGAGCUGGUGCCGCUGCCCUUUGCUGCAGGAGUCGUUGGCAAGUCACAGCCCAUCGCGCGCCGUGGGAGAGGCGCCCCAGGUCGCCGCCCUUCGCCACGGGAGAGCUGGAGCCGCGGAGCCACCGUCCGUCGCGCGCCGGGGGAGAGCCAGGUCUCCUCCUCUGCUGCCGCAGGUUGAGACCAUGGGCAUCGUCGAAAUCCCAAUCGGAGCCAUGCUUGAUGCCAUGUUGAAGGACCUGAACCUUCCACAACCACUGUCCACUUUUACCCAUCAGUAUCCUGAAUGA
RNAcentral lists this ribosomal RNA (639 nucleotides) under Triticum aestivum (bread wheat). Its description in RNAcentral is "partial small subunit ribosomal RNA". The record is from RNAcentral. Lineage: Eukaryota; Viridiplantae; Streptophyta; Magnoliopsida; Poales; Poaceae.